Molecule: ribosomal RNA, 434 nt
Filed under: uncultured bacterium
Lineage: Bacteria
Description: partial 16S ribosomal RNA
Rfam family: Bacterial small subunit ribosomal RNA
Source: RNAcentral
AGCGAACGCUGGCGGCAGGCCUAACACAUGCAAGUCGAACGAACCUUUCGGGGUUAGUGGCGGACGGGUGAGUAACACGUGGGAACGUGCCUUUAGGUUCGGAAUAACUCAGGGAAACUUGUGCUAAUACCGACUGUGCCCUUCGGGGGAAAGAUUAAUCGCCUUUAGAGCGGCCCGCGUCUGAUUAGCUAGUUGGUUGAGGUAAUGGCUCACCAAGGCGACGAUCAGUAGCUGGUCUGAGAGGAUGAUCAGCCACAUUGGGACUGAGACACGGCCCAAACUCCUACGGGAGGCAGCAGUGGGGAAUCUUGCGCAAUGGGCGAAAGCCUGACGCAGCCAUGCCGCGUGAAUGAUGAAGGUCUUAGGAUUGUAAAAUUCUUUCACCGGGGACGAUAAUGACGGUACCCGGAGAAGAAGCCCCGGCUAACUUCGUG